GGUUUAUUAUGGAUCCCCAUCAGUUCCUGCCAAGGCAGCAGCUACUCUUCCUGGGGUUUAUUAUGGAUCCUCAUUAGUUCCUGUCAAGGCAGCAGCUACUCUUCCUGGGGUUUAUUAUGGAUCCCCAUCAGUUCCUGUCAAGGCAGCAGCUACUCUUCCUGGGGUCCAGUUAAAUUAAGGCAGUUUAUACAAUUUUAAAAACAUUACAAUACGUUCAUAACAGAUUUCCCAACACACUGUGUGCCCUUAGGCCCCUACUCUAUCACAUAUCUACAGUACAAAAUCCAUGUGUAAGUGUGUGUAUAGUGCUUAUAUUAUCGUGUGUGUGUAUGCAUGUGUCUGUGCCUAUGUUUAUGUUGCUUCACAGUCCCCGCUGUUCCAUAAGGUGUUUUUUUAAUCUAAUUUUACUGCUGGCAUGAGUUACUUGAUGUGAAAUAGAGUUCCAUGUAGUCAUGUCUCUAUGUAGUACUGUGCACCUCUCAUCGUCUGUUCUGGACAUGGGGACUAUGAAGAGACCUCUGGUGGCAUGUCUUGUGGCGUAUGCAGUACCAGUAGUUCAAACAGACUGCUCGGUGCAUUCAACAUGUCAAUACCUCUCAUAAAUACAAGUAGUGAUGAAGUCGAUCUCUCUUCUACUUUGAGCCAGGAGAGAUUGACAUUCAUAUUAUUAAUAUUAGCUCACGGUGUACAUCCAAGGGUCAGCCGUGCUGCCCUAUUCUGAGCCAAUUGCAAUUUUCCAAAGUCCCUAUUUGUGGCACCUGACCACAUGACUGAACAGUAGUCCAGGUUUCGACAAAACUAGGGCCUGUAGGACCUGCCUUGCUGAUAGUGCCAUUAAGAAGGUAGAGCAGUGUUACUCCAAGCAGUUUAGUCACCUCGGUACUACACAACUUGCUCAAUUUCUACAUUGUUUAUUAAAAGAAGACAGCAGCUCUUUGUUAAGUUUUGCAGUCAUUUCAGUUGCUGUAGUAGCUGACAUGUAAAGUGUUCAAUCAAAUUUAUAUAUAAAGCCCUUCUUACAUCAGCUGAUGUCACAAAGUGCUGUACAGAAACCCAGCCUAAAACAGCAAGCAAUGCAGGUAUAGAAGCACAGUGGCUAGGAAAAACUCCCUAGAAAGGCCGGAACCUAGGAAGAAACAUAGAGAGGAACCAGGCUAUGAGGGGUGGCCAGUCCUCUUCUGGCUGUGCCGGGUGGAGAUUUAUAACAGAACAUGGCCAAGAUGUUCAAAUGUUCAUAGAUGACCAGCAGUGUCAAAUAAUAAUAAUCACAGUAGUUGUCGAGGGUGCAACAGGUCAGGACCUCAGGAGUAAAUGUGAGUUGGCUUUUCAUAGCCGAUCAUUCAGAGUAUCUCAACCGCUUCUGCUGUCUCUAGAGGGUUGAAAACAGCAGGUCUGGGACAAGGUAGCACGUCCGGUGAACAGGUCAGGGUUCCACAGCCGCAGGCAGAACAGUUGAAACUGAAGCAGCAGCACAACCAGGUGGACUGGGGACAGCAAGGUCCUAGGGCUCAGGUCCUCCAAGAGAGAGAGAGAGAAAAAAGCGAAUUAGAGAGAGCAUACUUAAAAAUCACACAGGACACCGGAUAAUACAGGAGAAAUAGUCCAGAUAUAACAGACUGACCCUAGCCCCCCGACACAAACUAUUGCAGCAUAAAUACUGGGGGCUGAGACAGGAGGGGUCGGGAGACACUGGCCCAGUCCGACAAUACCCCCAGACAGGGCCAAACAGGCAGGAUAUAACCCCACCCACUUCCAGAGCACAGCACCCACACCACUAGAGGGAUAUAUUCAACCACCAACUUACUAUCCUGAGACAAGGCCGAGUAUAGCCCAUGAAGAACUCCCCCAUGGCACGAACCCAAGGGGGGGAGCCAACCCGGACCGGAAGAUCACGUCAGUGACUCAACCCACUCAAGUGAUGCACCCCUCCUAGGGACGGCAUGGAAGAGCACCAGUAAGCCAGUGACUCAGCCCCUGUAAUAGGGUUGAGGCAGAGAAUCCCAGUGCAGAGAGGGGAACUGGCCAAGCAGAGACAGCAAGGGCGGUUCGUUGCUCCAGUGCCUUUCAGUUCACCUUCACACUGGGCCAGACUACAGUCAAUCAUAGGACCUACUGAAGAGAUGAGUCUUCAAUAAAGACAUGAAGGAUGUGACCGAGUCUGCAUCUCUCACAUGGAUAGGCAGACCAUUCCAUAAAAAUGGAGCUCUAUAGGUGAAAGCCCUGCCUCCAACUGUUUGUUUAGAAAUUCUAGGGACAGUAAGGAGGCCUGCGUCUUGUGAUCGCAGAGUACUUGUAGGUAUGUACAGCGGGACCAAAUCGGAAAGAUAGGAAGGAGCAAGCCCAUGUAAUGCUUUGUAGGUUAGCAGUAAAACCUUGAAAUCAGCCCUUGUCUUAACAGGAAGCCAGUGUACAAAGGCUAGCACUUGAGUAAUAUGAUCAAAUGUUUUGGUUCUAGUCAAGAUUCUAACAGCUGUGUUUAGCACGAACUGAAGUUUAUUUAGUGCUUUAUCCUGGUAGCUGGAAAGUAGAGCAUUGCAGUAGUCUAACCUAGAAGUGACAAAAGCAUGGAUUCAUUUUUCUGCAUAAUUUUUGGACAGAAAGUUUAAGAUUUUUGCAAUGUUACGUAGAUGGAAAAAAGCUGUCCUUGAAACAGUCUUGAUAUAUUCGUCAAAAGAGAGAUCAGGGUCCAGAGUAACGCCGAGGUCCUUUACAGUUUUAUUUUAGACGACUGAACAACCAUCAAGAUUAAUUGUCAGAUUCAACAGAAGAUCUCUUUGUUCCUUGGGACCUAGAACAAGCAUCUCUGUUUUGUCUGAGUUUAAAAGUAGAACAUUUGCAGCCAUCCUCUUCCUUAUGUCUGAAACACAAGCUUCCAGGGAGGGCAAUUUUGGGGCUUCACACCAUGUUUCAUCGAAACAUACAGCUGUGUGUAGUCCGCAUAGCAGUGAAAGUUAACACUGUUUCUGAAUGACAUCACCAAGAGGUCAAAUAUAUAGUGAAAAAAAUAGUUUUAUAGUGAAAACAAUGUCGGAAAACCGACAUUUACAGUUGAUUUGUCAGAGGACAAACAAUCUAGAGACAAACUGAUAUCUUUCCAACAGAUAAGAUCUAAACCAGGCCAUAACUUGUCCGUGGAGACCAAUUUGGGUUUCCAAUCUCUCCAAAAGAAUGUGGUGAUCGAUGGUAUCAAAACCAGAGCCUCGGUAGUUUUUUUGUGGAAUUGUUAGUUAGAUUACUUGCUCGUUAUUACUGCAUUGUCGGAACUAGAAGCACAAGCAUUUCGCUACACUCGCAUUAACAUCUGCUAACCAUGUGUAUGUGACAAA
Oncorhynchus tshawytscha (Chinook salmon) is the source of this 3326-nucleotide long non-coding RNA. Lineage: Eukaryota; Metazoa; Chordata; Actinopteri; Salmoniformes; Salmonidae. The record is from Ensembl.